UACGGAGGGUGCAAGCGUUAUCCGGAUUUACUGGGUUUAAAGGGUGCGUAGGCGGGCCAUUAAGUCAGUGGUGAAAGCUCCGAGCUUAACUCGGAAACUGCCAUUGAUACUAUUGGUCUUGAAUUCGGUCGAGGUUGGCGGAAUGUGUCGUGUAGCGGUGAAAUUCGUAGAUAUCGGGAGGAACACCAGCGGCGAAGGCGGCCAUCUGGACAGAUAUUGACGCUGAGGUGCGAAAGCGUGGGGAGCAAACAGG
RNAcentral lists this ribosomal RNA (253 nucleotides) under uncultured bacterium. RNAcentral describes it as "partial 16S ribosomal RNA". It matches the Rfam family "Bacterial small subunit ribosomal RNA", at positions 524 to 776 of the family's 1533-position model. The record is from RNAcentral.